GGGGGGAUGGUACAGCUCAGUGGCAGUGCAUGCUUUGCAUGCACAAGGUCCUGGGUUCAAUCCCCAGUACCUCCA
Camelus ferus (Wild Bactrian camel) is the source of this 75-nucleotide transfer RNA. It matches the Rfam family "tRNA". Rfam says of the family: Transfer RNA (tRNA) molecules are approximately 80 nucleotides in length. Their secondary structure includes four short double-helical elements and three loops (D, anti-codon, and T loops). The record is from Rfam. NCBI's taxonomy places the organism in Eukaryota, Metazoa, Chordata, Mammalia, Artiodactyla, Camelidae.